Molecule: ribosomal RNA, 253 nt
Filed under: uncultured bacterium
Lineage: Bacteria
Description: partial 16S ribosomal RNA
Rfam family: Bacterial small subunit ribosomal RNA
Source: RNAcentral
UACGGAGGGUGCAAGCGUUAUCCGGAUUCACUGGGUUUAAAGGGUGCGUAGGCGGGUUGGUAAGUCCGUGGUGAAAUCUCCGAGCUUAACUCGGAAACUGCCGUGGAUACUAUCAGUCUUGAAUAUCGUUGAGGUAAGCGGAACAUGUCAUGUAGCGGUGAAAUGCUUAGAUAUGACAUAGAACACCAAUUGCGAAGGCAGCUUACUGAACGAUCAUUGACGCUGAGGCACGAAAGCGUGGGGAGCAAACAGG